This 70-nucleotide transfer RNA is filed under the name Otolemur garnettii (small-eared galago). It matches the Rfam family "tRNA". Rfam says of the family: Transfer RNA (tRNA) molecules are approximately 80 nucleotides in length. Their secondary structure includes four short double-helical elements and three loops (D, anti-codon, and T loops). Further hydrogen bonds mediate the characteristic L-shaped molecular structure. tRNAs have two regions of fundamental functional importance: the anti-codon, which is responsible for specific mRNA codon recognition, and the 3' end, to which the tRNAs corresponding amino acid is attached (by aminoacyl-tRNA synthetases). tRNAs cope with the degeneracy of the genetic code in two manners: having more than one tRNA (with a specific anti-codon) for a particular amino acid; and 'wobble' base-pairing, i.e. permitting non-standard base-pairing at the 3rd anti-codon position. The record is from Rfam by way of RNAcentral. Lineage: Eukaryota; Metazoa; Chordata; Mammalia; Primates; Galagidae.
GAGCCUGUGGCUCAAAGAAGUAGGGUGCUGGUCUUAUAUGCCAGAGGUGGUGGGUUGAAACCCAGCCUCA